UUCCAGUCCCUCUUCGCGCCCAGCUGGCCACGCCCCUUCCCAACUCGCUCCUCCCCCAUUAGGCCGGCGGCGCGCGAAAAGCGCGUCACGUGACGGCUGGCCCCGCCUCUUCCUCUCGGUCCCAUAUUGAACUCGAGUUGGAAGAGGCGAGUCCGGUCUCAAAAUGGAGAAGACACAGGAAGAUCUUAGAAUGUAAAUGGCCAUGAUCCAAAGGAACCAGAACAGUUGAGAAAACUGUUUAUCGGUGGUCUGAGCUU
RNAcentral lists this long non-coding RNA (257 nucleotides) under Physeter macrocephalus (sperm whale). RNAcentral's name for it is "Physeter catodon (sperm whale) lncRNA (ENSPCTG00005003461.1)". Lineage: Eukaryota; Metazoa; Chordata; Mammalia; Artiodactyla; Physeteridae. The record is from RNAcentral.